AUUGAACGCUGGUGGCAGGCCUAACACAUGCAAGUCGAACGGUAACAGGAAGAAGCUUGCUUCUUUGCUGACGAGUGGCGGACGGGUGAGUAAUGUCUGGAAAACUGCCUGAUGGAGGGGGAUAACUACUGGAAACGGUAGCUAAUACCGCAUAACGUCGCAAGACCAAAGAGGGGGACCUUCGGGCCUCUUGCCAUCGGAUGUGCCCAGAUGGGAUUAGCUAGUAGGUGGGGUAACGGCUCACCUAGGCGACGAUCCCUAGCUGGUCUGAGAGGAUGACCAGCCACACUGGAACUGAGACACGGUCCAGACUCCUACGGGAGGCAGCAGUGGGGAAUAUUGCACAAUGGGCGCAAGCCUGAUGCAGCCAUGCCGCGUGUAUGAAGAAGGCCUUCGGGUUGUAAAGUACUUUCAGCGGGGAGGAAGGGAGUAAAGUUAAUACCUUUGCUCAUUGACGUUACCCGCAGAAGAAGCACCGGCUAACUCCGUG
Molecule: ribosomal RNA, 490 nt
Filed under: uncultured bacterium
Lineage: Bacteria
Description: partial 16S ribosomal RNA
Rfam family: Bacterial small subunit ribosomal RNA
Source: RNAcentral